CAUUCUCAAACCUUCUUGGUUUCUCGACCAGGAAGGCUUUGGACUUUGGAGGCUUUUGCUGGGGUUCCUUUGUUGGAAGCCAGCUCCUCUGAAAUGAAUUAGUGGGGGGUCUGCAUUGCCGAUCCUUGACGUGAUAAGAUUGUUUUCUACGUCUCGGGUUUUUGCACUCCUGCUUCUAACCGUCUUCACAGAAGACAAAUGGUCGAGUGAUUGCCACUUGACCCAUGAACC
This 231-nucleotide unclassified non-coding RNA is filed under the name uncultured Russula. RNAcentral's name for it is "sequence contains ITS2". Lineage: Eukaryota; Fungi; Basidiomycota; Agaricomycetes; Russulales; Russulaceae. The record is from RNAcentral.